RNAcentral lists this ribosomal RNA (722 nucleotides) under Micromonospora sp. RNAcentral's name for it is "bacterial SSU rRNA". It matches the Rfam family "Bacterial small subunit ribosomal RNA", at positions 87 to 824 of the family's 1533-position model. Lineage: Bacteria; Bacillati; Actinomycetota; Actinomycetes; Micromonosporales; Micromonosporaceae. The record is from RNAcentral.
GUACUCGAGCGGCGAACGGGUGAGUAACACGUGAGCAACCUGCCCCAGGCUUUGGGAUAACCCCGGGAAACCGGGGCUAAUACCGAAUAUGACCUUGCACCGCAUGGUGUUUGGUGGAAAGUUUUUCGGCUUGGGAUGGGCUCGCGGCCUAUCAGCUUGUUGGUGGGGUGAUGGCCUACCAAGGCGACGACGGGUAGCCGGCCUGAGAGGGCGACCGGCCACACUGGGACUGAGACACGGCCCAGACUCCUACGGGAGGCAGCAGUGGGGAAUAUUGCACAAUGGGCGGAAGCCUGAUGCAGCGACGCCGCGUGAGGGAUGACGGCCUUCGGGUUGUAAACCUCUUUCAGCAGGGACGAAGCGUAAGUGACGGUACCUGCAGAAGAAGCGCCGGCCAACUACGUGCCAGCAGCCGCGGUAAGACGUAGGGCGCGAGCGUUGUCCGGAUUUAUUGGGCGUAAAGAGCUCGUAGGCGGCUUGUCGCGUCGACCGUGAAAACCUGGGGCUCAACCCCAGGCCUGCGGUCGAUACGGGCAGGCUAGAGUUCGGUAGGGGAGACUGGAAUUCCUGGUGUAGCGGUGAAAUGCGCAGAUAUCAGGAGGAACACCGGUGGCGAAGGCGGGUCUCUGGGCCGAUACUGACGCUGAGGAGCGAAAGCGUGGGGAGCGAACAGGAUUAGAUACCCUGGUAGUCCACGCUGUAAACGUUGGGCGCUAGGUGUG